Molecule: non-coding RNA, 88 nt
Organism: Cicer arietinum (chickpea)
Lineage: Eukaryota; Viridiplantae; Streptophyta; Magnoliopsida; Fabales; Fabaceae
Source: Rfam
GCUUUCUAUGAUGAGAUAAAUGAUAAUAACUUUCGUUCUGCUGAGUUGUUUCACGCGGAGAAAAAUUGGACACCUGAACUGAGGUGGC